UGAAUACGAGACGCUACGGCGUCGAAGCAGUCUAUGUCAUACUUCCAAGAAAAGCUUGCACUGUCAUAAACAAAUAAUGCCUGUACCAUAACCGACACAGGUGGGUAGGUAGAGUAUACUAAGGGGCGCGAGAUAACUCUCUCUAAGGAACUCGGCAAAAUGACUCCGUAACUUCGGGAGAAGGAGUGCCUUAUUUAUAAGGUUGCAAUAACAAGAUCCAAGCAACUGUUUAUCAAAAACACAGGUCUCCGCUAAGUCGUAAGACGAUGUAUGGGGGCUGACGCCUGCCCAGUGCCAGAAGGUUAAAGAAGUUGGUUAGCAUUAGCGAAGCUGAUAACUGAAGCCCUGGUGAACGGCGGCCGUAACGAUAACGGUCCUAAGGUAGCGAAAUUCCUUGUCGGGUAAGUUCCGACCCGCACGAAAGGCGUAAUGAUUUGGAUACUGUCUCGGAGAGGGGCUCGGUGAAAUAGACUUGUCUGUGAAGAUGCGGACUACCUGCACCUGGACAGAAAGACCCUAUGAAGCUUUACUGUAACCUGAAAUUGAAAUUGGACUUUAUUUGCGCAGUAUAGGUGGGAGGCGUUGAGAAUAUUCUUGCGGGAAUAUUGGAGCCAUCAGUGAGAUACCACUCUUGUAAUGUUAGAUUUCUAACUUUGAAUCAUUAUCUGGUCAAAGAACAGUUUCAGGCGGGCAGUUUGACUGGGGCGGUCGCCUCCUAAAUGGUAACGGAGGCGCACAAAGGUUUCCUCUGAACGGGUAGAAAUCGUAUCUAGAGUGUAAAGGCAUAAGGAAGCUUGACUGUGAGACCUACAAGUCGAGCAGGGACGAAAGUCGGUCUUAGUGAUCUGACGGUGCUGAGUGGAAAGGCCGUCACUCAACGGAUAAAAGUUACUCUAAGGAUAACAGGCUGAUCUCCCCCAAGAGUUCACAUCGACGGGGAGGUUUGGCACCUCGAUGUCGGCUCAUCGCAUCCUGGGGCGGUAGUACGUCCCAAGGGUUGGGCUGUUCGCCCAUGAAAGCGGUACGCGAGCUGGGUUCAGAACGUCGUGAGACAGUUCGGUCCAUAUCCGGUGUAGGCGUUAGAAUAUUGAGAGGAGCCUUCUUUAGUACGAGAGGACCGAGAAGGACAUACCUCUGGUGUACCAGUUAUCGUGCCAACGGUAAACGCUGGGUAGCUAUGUAUGGAGAGGAUAACCGCUGAAAGCAUCUAAGUGGGAAGCCCACCUCAAGAUAAGUAUUCAC
Molecule: ribosomal RNA, 1242 nt
Filed under: metagenome
Description: bacterial LSU rRNA
Rfam family: Bacterial large subunit ribosomal RNA
Source: RNAcentral